GAACCACUGGCUUAAAGGAAUGGUUCAAAAUUUGCUGAAUAUUAACCCCAAGAUGUAGAUGAGUUUUUUUUCUUCAUCCAAUUUGGAGAAAGGUGUUUCAGACAUCUACAUAUAAUGCCUGCUCCCUUUCCCAACCCUGUUCCUGGAGGAAAACCAACCACUACACAAUUCUGAAAUCUUCCUACUCAAACACACCUAUUCAACUCAUCAGCUCGUUAGUAAAGACUACAUGACCUGAAAUGGUUGUCAGAUAACAGAGACUCCAAAUUUGUACUGUAGUUUUAUUAUUAUUAUUUUUUUGGUAAUGUGGAUUUGAUGCUUUCAUUUGCUAUAAUAAUGUAAUUUCUUCAUUUCAAACAAUUUCAUUUGGGAAAAAAAAACAGUAUAAGCG
Molecule: long non-coding RNA, 391 nt
Organism: Cyprinus carpio carpio
Lineage: Eukaryota; Metazoa; Chordata; Actinopteri; Cypriniformes; Cyprinidae
Source: Ensembl